AUUGAACGCUGGCGGCAUGCCUAACACAUGCAAGUCGAACGAGUGGCGGACGGGUGAGUAAUGUCUGGGAAACUGCCUGAUGGAGGGGGAUAACUACUGGAAACGGUAGCUAAUACCGCAUACCAUCAGAUGUGCCCAGAUGGGAUUGGCUAGUUGGUGGGGUAACGGCUCACCAAGGCGACGAUCCCUAGCUGGUCUGAGAGGAGGACCGGCCACACUGGAACUGAGACACGGGCCAGACUCCUACGGGAGGCAGCAGUGGGGAAUAUUGCACAAUGGGCGCAAGCCUGAUGCAGCCAUGCCGAGUGUGUGAAGAAGGCCUUCGGGUUGUAAAGUACUUUCAGCGGGGAGGCGUUAGCCGCAGAAGAAGCACCGGCUAACUCCGUGCCAGCAGCCGCGGUAAUUC
RNAcentral lists this ribosomal RNA (406 nucleotides) under uncultured bacterium. RNAcentral describes it as "partial 16S ribosomal RNA". It matches the Rfam family "Bacterial small subunit ribosomal RNA", at positions 30 to 526 of the family's 1533-position model. The record is from RNAcentral.